UACCCUGUGGUACCGAGCUGUGUCU
Molecule: microRNA, 25 nt
Filed under: Brugia malayi
Lineage: Eukaryota; Metazoa; Nematoda; Chromadorea; Rhabditida; Onchocercidae
Also listed under: 1 other name
Description: bma-miR-57
Gene: bma-miR-57
Source: miRBase by way of RNAcentral